Molecule: ribosomal RNA, 991 nt
Filed under: Corynebacterium humireducens
Lineage: Bacteria; Bacillati; Actinomycetota; Actinomycetes; Mycobacteriales; Corynebacteriaceae
Description: bacterial SSU rRNA
Rfam family: Bacterial small subunit ribosomal RNA
Source: RNAcentral
GGCCUACCAAGGCGUCGACGGGUAGCCGGCCUGAGAGGGUGGACGGCCACAUUGGGACUGAGAUACGGCCCAGACUCCUACGGGAGGCAGCAGUGGGGAAUAUUGCACAAUGGGCGAAAGCCUGAUGCAGCGACGCCGCGUGGGGGAUGACGGCCUUCGGGUUGUAAACCUCUUUCGACAGGGACGAAGCUUUUUGUGACGGUACCUGUAUAAGAAGCACCGGCUAACUACGUGCCAGCAGCCGCGGUAAUACGUAGGGUGCGAGCGUUGUCCGGAAUUACUGGGCGUAAAGAGCUCGUAGGUGGUUUGUCGCGUCGUCUGUGAAAUUCCGGGGCUUAACUCCGGGCGUGCAGGCGAUACGGGCAAUACUUGAGUGCUGUAGGGGAGACUGGAAUUCCUGGUGUAGCGGUGAAAUGCGCAGAUAUCAGGAGGAACACCAAUGGCGAAGGCAGGUCUCUGGGCAGUAACUGACGCUGAGGAGCGAAAGCAUGGGUAGCGAACAGGAUUAGAUACCCUGGUAGUCCAUGCCGUAAACGGUGGGCGCUAGGUGUAGGGGUCUUCCACGACUUCUGUGCCGUAGCUAACGCAUUAAGCGCCCCGCCUGGGGAGUACGGCCGCAAGGCUAAAACUCAAAGGAAUUGACGGGGGCCCGCACAAGCGGCGGAGCAUGUGGAUUAAUUCGAUGCAACGCGAAGAACCUUACCUGGGCUUGACAUACACCGGACCGGGCCAGAGAUGGUCCUUCCCUUGUGGCUGGUGUACAGGUGGUGCAUGGUUGUCGUCAGCUCGUGUCGUGAGAUGUUGGGUUAAGUCCCGCAACGAGCGCAACCCUUGUCUUAUGUUGCCAGCACGUGAUGGUGGGGACUCAUGAGAGACUGCCGGGGUCAACUCGGAGGAAGGUGGGGGAUGACGUCAAAUCAUCAUGCCCCUUAUGUCCAGGGCUUCACAACAUGCUACAAUGGUCGGUACAACGGCGUCGCGAACAUCGUAA